RNAcentral lists this ribosomal RNA (125 nucleotides) under Palmaria palmata (dulse). RNAcentral's name for it is "partial 18S ribosomal RNA". Lineage: Eukaryota; Rhodophyta; Florideophyceae; Palmariales; Palmariaceae. The record is from RNAcentral.
CGGAUUUUGGCGUGGCCCGUGCUGUGCGCGUAAUGCGUGCGGCGCUGGGGCGCGCUUUUGUGGAGGGCGGCGCGUUGUGGCUUCACUGUCGCGGCGUGUCGGCGCCACCGUUUACUGUGAAAAAA